AUGCUGCAGCCGGCCGCGCGCGUCCGGCGCCUGACCACGACCUUCGCGGUGCCGCUCUCCGACCUCACGGACGCGCUCCUCGCCACCCGCCUCGCCAAUCACCUCCUCACCACGCCGCACAUCCCGCCCGCCGCACCGCUGCCGCUCCUCGUCCGCCUCCACGCCCUCCGCCACCCGACCCUCCCGCCCACGUCCUCCGCCAGUUUUGGAUGA
RNAcentral lists this ribosomal RNA (213 nucleotides) under Triticum aestivum (bread wheat). RNAcentral's name for it is "partial small subunit ribosomal RNA". The record is from RNAcentral. Lineage: Eukaryota; Viridiplantae; Streptophyta; Magnoliopsida; Poales; Poaceae.